ACUUUAGGGGGAUACUUUAAUCGAUGGCAAAACAGUAUCCCCGGAUACUUUUAUGAUGGGCAAAAAGUAUCCGGAUACUUUUUUGAUGGGAGAUACAAAUUUGAUAUGACACCGGGAUUUAUCUAAUCUAUUCAUUAUCAUUCACUGUUGUUAUUUUUGAGCACUUGUUCCUUUACGGAUUCAUAUCUAAAGGAAGCAAUGGGGACGGCCAUGGAUACCAUCUUUGUUGUGAUUGGAACCCUGCUAGCGGCCAUAUGUCUAAGGAAAGUGUUUGUUGUGAUACAGAAAUACAAAGUUAAUAUUCACUUAUAUAACGAGAAGAAAAUCCAACCUGUCGGAAAGUUCCAUCCAAUAUGGGGACAUCUUUACCUGUUUUCAGAUUUUGACCGUCUCGUAGAUCUCUGUGGCGAAGUGGUGGCACAAACAAAAGGUCGUAUCGUGUCUUACUGGAUAAUGGGUUUCUAUCCCGUACUUAACGCUUGUCACACUACCACUGCUAAAGUGGUUAUGAAAUCUUCGGAACCUAAACCAAAGCACCUAGGUGGAGGAUACAGGAAUCUUAUUGACUG
Long non-coding RNA from Pecten maximus, 569 nucleotides. RefSeq lists it as uncharacterized. The transcript is spliced from 3 exons. Lineage: Eukaryota; Metazoa; Mollusca; Bivalvia; Pectinida; Pectinidae. The record is from RefSeq and is a predicted model, not a curated record.